Danio rerio (zebrafish) is the source of this 115-nucleotide ribosomal RNA. The record is from Ensembl. Lineage: Eukaryota; Metazoa; Chordata; Actinopteri; Cypriniformes; Danionidae.
GCCGGCAGCUAGCUCUCUGCAACUCUCUUAUGUUCGCUUACUGAAGCUAAGCAGAGCUGCGCCCGGUCAAUACCUGGAUGGGAGACCACAUGGGAAAGUUAGGUAGCUGCCGGAA